UGAUGGGGAGUUACCAAGAGGUGAGUGAAGUGGGUUUAGAGGAAAACUGUGCUUGGAGUUGUUGGUAGUGGAUCCAUAGGGCUUGGAAUCUUGAGGGAUACUGGCGAGUCUAAGAGAUUACUUAUGGUGGGAUUAAAAUUUUGUAGUGAGUUGCAGCCAUUUAGGCCUUAUAUAGUGGUUGGGAGAAUGCUAGCAAACUAGGUGACCAUCAGUAGUCAGUUGCAAUGUGCAGGUUCUAAGCACCAGGCCCAUGGCUACAUGCAUGUUCGGUAGCAGAGUUGACAAGUCAGGCCCAUACAACCUGUACGAUGCCAGGAUUGACACUUGUGCAAGGGACAAAAAUUGCUUCUCCUUUCCUCUCAAUCUGAUUGAAGCCCUCCAAAACUAGCCACUGAGCCAAGAACCAUCCAAAUAGCUUGGUGACAGGAGGCUAGGCUCAUCAUCAGAGCAUGCUGGUUUCAUAACAAACCCCCUGAAUCCCUUUCAGUUUGGCAGGUGUUAAAGCAUUGAGUAUAUGGUGCCUUGUGUAUCUUCAGGGUUCUGUGGGGAGUAGGGGUGGGUUGGGUUAGAUACUCCUCAACCACCAAACGGUGGGCAGCCUACAUGUCAUAAUUAAACUCUGCUAUCACAAUAUUCAUAUAUGUUUGAACAUGCAUGCACAGAACUAUGUGCAUUUUAUGUUCCUUAUUUAAGAUUUGGACCUCGUAAAAUCAAUCUCU
This 719-nucleotide long non-coding RNA is filed under the name Vitis vinifera (wine grape). Its description in RNAcentral is "long non-coding RNA (VVIN_LNC004068)". Lineage: Eukaryota; Viridiplantae; Streptophyta; Magnoliopsida; Vitales; Vitaceae. The record is from RNAcentral.